AUCCAGCUGACGAGUCCCAAAUAAGAUGAAACGCACGUCCUAGGAU
Schistosoma haematobium is the source of this 46-nucleotide non-coding RNA. The record is from Rfam. NCBI's taxonomy places the organism in Eukaryota, Metazoa, Platyhelminthes, Trematoda, Strigeidida, Schistosomatidae.